RNAcentral lists this ribosomal RNA (397 nucleotides) under Citrobacter freundii. RNAcentral describes it as "bacterial SSU rRNA". It matches the Rfam family "Bacterial small subunit ribosomal RNA", at positions 50 to 446 of the family's 1533-position model. Lineage: Bacteria; Pseudomonadati; Pseudomonadota; Gammaproteobacteria; Enterobacterales; Enterobacteriaceae. The record is from RNAcentral.
AACACCUGCAGUCGAGCGGCAGCCGAAGAACUUUGUUACUUUGUCCCGAGAGCGGCACACGUGAGAAUUAUGUCUGGAACUCUGCCUGAUGGAGGGAUAUCUCUACUGAACACUGUCUCUAAUACCGCAUAGCCUCACGAGACCAAAGAGGGAGAUCUUCGGCUCUCGUGCUCUCAUAUGUGCCCAUAUGGUAUUAUCUAAUGUGGGGUGUAACGUCUCCUCUGCGACAAUAUCCCUAUGUGGUCAGAGAAUAACACCCCCCACUCUGGAUCUGACACACGGCCCACACUCCUACGGGAGGCCACUGUGGAAUAUAUUGCACUGUGCGCGCACCUCUGAUGCACCUGUGCCGCGUGUAUGAAAAGCGUCUUCGUUUUGAAAAACUUUUUCCGCGAGA